This 425-nucleotide ribosomal RNA is filed under the name uncultured bacterium. RNAcentral describes it as "partial 16S ribosomal RNA". It matches the Rfam family "Bacterial small subunit ribosomal RNA", at positions 354 to 796 of the family's 1533-position model. The record is from RNAcentral.
GUGGGGAAUAUUGGACAAUGGGCGCAAGCCUGAUCCAGCCAUGCCGCGUGAGUGAUGAAGGCCCUAGGGUUGUAAAGCUCUUUCACCGGUGAAGAUAAUGACGGUAACCGGAGAAGAAGCCCCGGCUAACUUCGUGCCAGCAGCCGCGGUAAUACGAAGGGGGCUAGCGUUGUUCGGAAUUACUGGGCGUAAAGCGCACGUAGGCGGGGAUUUAAGUCAGGGGUGAAAUCCCGGAGCUCAACUCCGGAACUGCCUUUGAUACUGGGUACCUAGAGUAUGGAAGAGGUAAGUGGAAUGCCGAGUGUAGAGGUGAAAUUCGUAGAUAUUCGGAGGAACACCAGUGGCGAAGGCGGCUUACUGGUCCAUUACUGACGCUGAGGUGCGAAAGCGUGGGGAGCAAACAGGAUUAGAAACCCUGGUAGUCC